UACUACCAUCAACGCAAACAAAAUUUACGGAAAUCUCAAAACAGAAAUAUGAAGCUGCAUGUUUUAGUUUGUUUUUUCUUUCUAUUUCUGGUUUUACUUUCUUUUAAACCAGAAGUAGAAGCAAAGCCCUGCCAUGAGCAUGGUUCUCACGGUGGUUCUUCACAUAAACAAACGCACAAGAAGCUGGGUGGUGGUAAAUGAGAAUUUAUAGGACAUUUUUACGAAAAAUCAUAUUUCGAAUGACUUUGUUCUCUAAAUUUGACAUUUUAAUAAAAAUUGUAUGAUAGCAAA
Molecule: long non-coding RNA, 291 nt
Organism: Anastrepha obliqua
Lineage: Eukaryota; Metazoa; Arthropoda; Insecta; Diptera; Tephritidae
Exons: 2
Source: RefSeq, a predicted model, not a curated record